UACGAAGGGGGCUAGCGUUGCUCGGAAUUACUGGGCGUAAAGGGCGCGUAGGCGGAUAUUUAAGUUGGGGGUGAAAUCCCGGGGCUCAACCUCGGAAUUGCCUUCAAAACUGGAUAUCUUGGGUUCGGGAGAGGUGAGUGGAACUCCGAGUGUAGAGGUGAAAUUCGUAGAUAUUCGGAAGAACACCAGUGGCGAAGGCGACUCACUGGCCCGAUACUGACGCUGAGGCGCGAAAGCGUGGGGAGCAAACAGG
RNAcentral lists this ribosomal RNA (253 nucleotides) under uncultured bacterium. Its description in RNAcentral is "partial 16S ribosomal RNA". It matches the Rfam family "Bacterial small subunit ribosomal RNA", at positions 524 to 776 of the family's 1533-position model. The record is from RNAcentral.